This is a long non-coding RNA of Macadamia integrifolia, 1030 nucleotides long. RefSeq lists it as uncharacterized. NCBI's taxonomy places the organism in Eukaryota, Viridiplantae, Streptophyta, Magnoliopsida, Proteales, Proteaceae. The transcript has 2 exons. The record is from RefSeq and is a predicted model, not a curated record.
UGUUCUCUGCCUAUGGAGAUUUCAAUGCCUUCCCAAGGUGGCUAAGGGAGGGUUGCCAAAGGAUUGGUGUGAAACUCGUAGAUGUUCCAAAUGGAAGAAAGGACACCAUUGACAAGGCUAUUUUGGUUGAUAUUCUUGUUCGCUCUUGAUAGCCAUUUGCUAUCAUCAAUUAUGUUGAUCUCAGUGGAUGUAGAUUUUUCUCUCGCAUUGCACAUACUGGGCAGCGUGGUUACACUAUCAUCCUUGUCAUUCUUGCUGGAGUAGGCGUUUCAUCUGCCUUGAGUAAUGUAGGUAGUUUCGACUGGGAUUGGCCUAGGGUGGCUCGUAGAGAACGGUUUGUGUCUCCUAAAGCAAUGAUGUCUCGUGCGCCUACUGAAAUUGCUGGGUAUCUUAUGGGUUGCCAUAUCAAUGAAAAUACUGAUGGGAAAAUUGAGGAGGAAUCAAUCGUUUAUAGAGGGAGUUCACAAAGCGAGUACACUGCUCGGGCUAACAUCAACCAUUUUUGACUGUUUUUACCCAAGAGAUUUAUCAAGGGCUUCGCAGUCCUUAUCUGAAUACGACAACAAUUUGAUUACCAAUUUGCCAUGCCUUGUUCUCCCUCUUCAAGAUGCAUUGUCUCCCCUCUGGCAUUACGAUGUUUGAGCAGGUUCUAUUACUAUCUCCACUCUGCUGGGAUUGUUGGAUUUGGUUCAUCUUCUUCAAAUAGAGUUACCAAUCAUGGUGAAGGGAUACCUCUUUCUCUCCAUCAUAUCAUUGGAUUAGCCAAAAUUCAGCAUUAAGGACGUUGAUGAAGAGCUAAAGAGAUUAUUGGAUGAUGUGGAUGAUAGCAUCGUUGAAGACUUGCUAUUUGGUGCAAGUAUUAGUUUUACUGGGAGCGAGACUCAACCCCCAGACAAUGUUAUUUGAUUUAGUUGAGUUAUGGUGAUGUAAUAACUAUAGUUAUGCUUUUGUGGAUGUUUUCCUUUGUUUAUAAUACUUUGUUUCUUUUUAAACAUGGAUGAUGGAAUUAGGUGAGCCAUGGGUUGAAUGA